UUUGCAUAUUUGUAUAUUUCUUAUUUAUACUGAUUUAUUGCAACGACUCCUGGGUAGAUGGACGGAGGGCUCGGGAAUGGAGCGCACGGUAUUGGAAGCUUUCGACGGAGCCGCGACCAGAGUCGAAUCGGUCGUCGAGGGCGACCCGAUCAUCGAAGGCGACGUUAGUGAUCACAUGGGUGGUGCAGGAUGUUGAUACGUGUCAAUUGUUGGCCGACAUAUGCUACCUACACUGCUUAAGUAGGUAAAAGUAUGCAACCAAAUUACUAUAUAAAAAUUAGUUUAAUUUAAAAAAAUUCAAAAAUAAUGAGGUCACUUGGAUUUGUGGUUUACAAGUUGCAGAUAAUCAAAGUUUGAUAGAAUUACUAUCUUCUUUCAAACAAAAAAAGAAGGGCUACGUCGAUCACAUAUUUUAGUAAUUUUUUUUUGCCUGGACAUAUUUAAGUAAUACUAUACGCUAUCAGACAUUUAAAAAAAAAGUAAUAUACGCUAUCUGGUGGAGCGCGUCCGCGUCCGCGCGAUGGAUCAGACGCCCUGGUCUGUCUGGUGGGUUGCGCCGCGCGAGAUCUCCUCCUCCCUUUCCUUCGAUCCUUUUUUUGCUCCUUUUUUCCCACGAUCCUUUUCCUCUUUCUUUUUCACGCGCCGGACCCUGGUCCUUAAAAAAACCAUAGCGACCCGAGUCGUACCUCGAUCCCUGUUCCGCCGCCGCGCGACCCGAGCGCUGGCCGCAUCCAGCAGCCACAUCAUGGCGGCGCGACGAAGCAGCCCACGCCAGCGCCUCCCUGCCGCUCCCCUCUCCCUCUAACCUUGCUCCGCCACCCGCCGCUCGGCGCCUUCCGCCCGUCGGCCUCCUCCUCCCUGGAUCUCGGCUGGUCGAUCCUGCAGCAGCUCUCACUGGAUCUCAGCUGGAUCAGACGCCCUGCAGUAGCUCUCCCCUGGUCAACCGCCCCUUUGCUCAGCGCCGCCCGGACUGGCUCGCCUGCCUCCCUUGCGACCAUCGAGCUCGACUGACUUGCGGCUAAUACCUCCAGAACAACAAUAGACUGGCUUUACGGAGAUAAGGCAAAAAUGACACGAGAUAAGAGCUGGAUGGACAAGGAAAGAGAUUCUGUUGAGUGGCAAACUGGCAUGAAUGAUUUCUUGAAUUUUGCCUUCGAUGGUGCUCACCCAGACUCAACAGUCCCAUGCCCAUGUAGGAGAUGUCUCAAUAUUGUUCAGAAAAAGAAAAGGGAUGUUCAUAGUGACUUGCUGUUCAAUGGGAUGGAUCCAACCUACACUCACUGGAUAUACCAUGGUGAACAAUCGGAUGAGGGAAGCAUGUCUGAAGAUUCUGAUAAUGAAGACGCUGUAGAUGAUGGUGCUGGGGUAUGUGACAUGCUCAAUACUCUCAUAAGGGGCACAAACAUGCAAAGCAAUGCAAACAUUGGUGAAGGUGUGGGAGACAUUCAUGUGGAUGAUUCCAGCGGUGAUGAAAGGAACCAGGAGCCAAAUGCAACAGCUAAGGUCUUCUUCGAACUAUUGAAAGAGGCAAAAAAAUAGUUGUACCCAGGUUGCAAGGAUUUCACGAAGUUAUCUUUCAUUGUGAAGCUUUACCAAAUCAAGUGCGUGUCUGGGAUGACCAAUAGAGCAUGUGACUUACUUCUGCAGAUGUUCACGCAGGUGUUGCCAAAGGGCCACUACAUUCCUACAAAUCUCGGAAAAGUAAGGAAGGUGAUCCGAGAUCUUGGGCUGGACUACAAGAAGAUACACGCUUGUGCUGUCAUUUUGAUACACGAGAUACAAUCUAUACAAGUAUGGCUGCUGAAACUUGUGUGCUGUGAUUUUGAAACAUGUGUUAUAUAUCUCGUUGAGAUGGUUUGUUAUAUCCUACUAAAAUCUUGUGUCAUAUGUCCUUAUAUAUAUAUCUUGAUGUAGUGUUGUUGA
Aegilops tauschii subsp. strangulata is the source of this 1923-nucleotide non-coding RNA. The record is from RefSeq and is a predicted model, not a curated record. NCBI's taxonomy places the organism in Eukaryota, Viridiplantae, Streptophyta, Magnoliopsida, Poales, Poaceae.